RNAcentral lists this ribosomal RNA (300 nucleotides) under uncultured bacterium. Its description in RNAcentral is "bacterial SSU rRNA". It matches the Rfam family "Bacterial small subunit ribosomal RNA", at positions 399 to 691 of the family's 1533-position model. The record is from RNAcentral.
GCGUGCGGGAUGAAGGCCUUCGGGUUGUAAACCGCUUUUGUCAGAGACGAAAAGGGACGCACGAAUAAUGCGUCCCGCUGACGGUAUCUGAAGAAUAAGCACCGGCUAACUACGUGCCAGCAGCCGCGGUAAUACGUAGGGUGCAAGCGUUAAUCGGAAUUACUGGGCGUAAAGGGUGCGCAGGCGGCUGUGCAAGACAGAUGUGAAAUCCCCGGGCUUAACCUGGGAACUGCAUUUGUGACUGCACGGCUAGAGUUUGUCAGAGGAGGGUGGAAUUCCGCGUGUAGCAGUGAAAUGCGU